Molecule: ribosomal RNA, 465 nt
Filed under: Vreelandella stevensii
Lineage: Bacteria; Pseudomonadati; Pseudomonadota; Gammaproteobacteria; Oceanospirillales; Halomonadaceae
Description: partial 16S ribosomal RNA
Rfam family: Bacterial small subunit ribosomal RNA
Source: RNAcentral
CCUACGGGGGGCUGUAGUGGGGAAUAUUGGACAAUGGGGGCAACCCUGAUCCAGCCAUGCCGCGUGUGUGAAGAAGGCCCUCGGGUUGUAAAGCACUUUCAGUGAGGAAGAACGCCUGGUGGUUAAUACCCAUCAGGAAAGACAUCACUCACAGAAGAAGCACCGGCUAACUCCGUGCCAGCAGCCGCGGUAAUACGGAGGGUGCGAGCGUUAAUCGGAAUUACUGGGCGUAAAGCGCGCGUAGGUGGCUUGAUAAGCCGGUUGUGAAAGCCCCGGGCUCAACCUGGGAACGGCAUCCGGAACUGUCAAGCUAGAGUGCAGGAGAGGAAGGUAGAAUUCCCGGUGUAGCGGUGAAAUGCGUAGAGAUCGGGAGGAAUACCAGUGGCGAAGGCGGCCUUCUGGACUGACACUGACACUGAGGUGCGAAAGCGUGGGUAGCAAACAGGAUUAGAUACCCGUGUAGUC